This 473-nucleotide ribosomal RNA is filed under the name uncultured bacterium. RNAcentral describes it as "bacterial SSU rRNA". It matches the Rfam family "Bacterial small subunit ribosomal RNA", at positions 48 to 507 of the family's 1533-position model. The record is from RNAcentral.
UUAACACAUGCAAGUCGAGGGGAAACGAUAUUGGGAAGCUUGCUUCCGAUAGGCGUCGACCGGCGCACGGGUGAGUAACGCGUAUCCAACCUGCCCAUCACUUGGGGAUAACCUUGCGAAAGUAAGACUAAUACCCAAUGACGUCUCUAGAAGACAUCUGAAGGAGAUUAAAGAUUUAUCGGUGAUGGAUGGGGAUGCGUCUGAUUAGCUUGUUGGCGGGGUAACGGCCCACCAAGGCGACGAUCAGUAGGGGUUCUGAGAGGAAGGUCCCCCACAUUGGAACUGAGACACGGUCCAAACUCCUACGGGAGGCAGCAGUGAGGAAUAUUGGUCAAUGGGCGAGAGCCUGAACCAGCCAAGUAGCGUGCAGGAUGACGGCCCUAUGGGUUGUAAACUGCUUUUAUAAGGGAAUAAAGUGGGAGUCGUGACUCUUUUUGCAUGUACCUUAUGAAUAAGGACCGGCUAAUUCCGUG